This is a long non-coding RNA of Anastrepha ludens (Mexican fruit fly), 306 nucleotides long. RefSeq lists it as uncharacterized. NCBI's taxonomy places the organism in Eukaryota, Metazoa, Arthropoda, Insecta, Diptera, Tephritidae. The transcript is spliced from 2 exons. The record is from RefSeq and is a predicted model, not a curated record.
AUUGCGUUGUGGCUUUUCAGCUUUGGAGUGGUUUUUACUAAACUUGGUUGGUCGUUUGGAUCCACUAUCUGCCGCACUCACAAGAGGGGUUGAUUGCACUCACCUCACACCAACGUUUGAUCUUCCGGACAAUUGGCAGUUUUCUUUGUUUGAUCAGCAACAGCUACACUCUUUGCAAAUAAAGCGUGCGAUUUAGUCACCGAUGUUAUUAUUAAGUCUUAUUGUACUCCUUUUUCUUUAUUUAUGUAACGCUGGAAAUUAAGUUGAAAUGUUUCGUGUAAUAAAAACGAGUUUUUUUUCCUUUUU